Molecule: ribosomal RNA, 460 nt
Filed under: uncultured bacterium
Lineage: Bacteria
Description: partial 16S ribosomal RNA
Rfam family: Bacterial small subunit ribosomal RNA
Source: RNAcentral
CCUACGGGUGGCAGCAGUGAGGAAUAUUGGUCAAUGGACGAGAGUCUGAACCAGCCAAGUAGCGUGAAGGAUGACUGCCCUAUGGGUUGUAAACUUCUUUUAUAUGGGAAUAAAAUGUUCCACGUGUGGGUUUUUGUAUGUACCAUAUGAAUAAGUAUCGUCUAACUCCGUGCCAGCAGCCGCGGUAAUACGGAGGAUCCGAGCGUUAUCCGGAUUUAUUGGGUUUAAAGGGAGCGUCGGUGGAUUGUUAAGUCAGUUGUGAAAUUUUGCGGCUCAACCGUAAAAUUGCAGUUGAAACUGGCAGUCUUGAGUACAGUAGAGGUGGGCGGAAUUCGUGGUGUAGCGGUGAAAUGCUUAGAUAUCACGAAGAACUCCGAUUGCGAAGGCAGCUCACUGGACUGCAACUGACACUGAGGCUCGAAAGUGUGGGUAUCAAACAGGAUUAGAUACCCGUGUAGUC